Non-coding RNA from Desulfuromonadales bacterium C00003096, 195 nucleotides. Lineage: Bacteria; Pseudomonadati; Thermodesulfobacteriota; Desulfuromonadia; Desulfuromonadales. The record is from Rfam.
GUCACCGCGAGGUGGGGUCUGAAGAAAGCCGGAGUGCAAAGCUGUGAGCCGACCUGUCUGCGUGCAACGCACAGGCAGGCGAACAGAAAUAGCAUAUAAGGCCCAGUCUCCGGUUAAGUUAGCGCAACAUAACAAAGCCCAGGGUUCUGGAGAUAGGGAACCCCGGAGCACUACCUUUAGAGCACAGACCUUGCC